Long non-coding RNA from Helianthus annuus (common sunflower), 783 nucleotides. RefSeq lists it as uncharacterized. The transcript has 3 exons. NCBI's taxonomy places the organism in Eukaryota, Viridiplantae, Streptophyta, Magnoliopsida, Asterales, Asteraceae. The record is from RefSeq and is a predicted model, not a curated record.
UUCGUGUUUUGAGUUUCCCUUCUGUUUCCACUUUCCAUCCCUCCUCAGUUCAGAACAACAAAACAAGAAGCUUUAAUUGCCAGUGUGAAGCGAUUGAGGCUGCUCAGAGGUCUCGUAGAUCGACGCGAUGGAAGCACAAUUUAAGGGGAGUAUCUGGGGAUUUAGGGUUCAAGAAGAAAAGGGUUAAAUGAGAAGGAGAUGAGACCGUGUUUGGAUUAAUUUUAAAAGCUUUUGCGCUUUUAGGGUUCAACAUUUGAUUCUCAAUGAGAGGUUAGUGAAGCCUCUGUGCUUUUGUUUUGGCAACAUGUGUUUGUACUCUUUUCACUUUCAUUUUACAUAUUCACCUACUCUAAACUGGUAUCGGUUGUACAAAGCGCGUUUUGGAUUUUGUAAGAGGCCUUUAAAUCUUGUGAAAGACGGCGAAAAAGAAAGCAUGAUGAUUCAACAUUGGGAACCAUAUAAAUUAAUCAGCAUAUCUGAACUGUUGGAUGAUGGCCAGAGCAGAGCUACUUAAGCAACAAUCUUGAUGAUGUUUUCAGAACUUUGUAGAACGCGGUUGAAGAUUCUUGGCUUCGUUCAAUUGGUUCUGAAGAAUGGAGUUAAAGUGAAGCUGCAAAGGAAUGCUUUGAGUGUUCUUGAACCACCAACUGGUCAUGAAGAAGAUGAUGAAUACGAAUUUGAUAUUUCAAGCAGUGGCUCGGAUGUUAACGACUUUUGUAAGCUUACACAAACUCAAAACCUUGUAAAUUCUUGCAAAUAUCAGUAAAAUAUUUAAAUAUUUAG